CUGCGCGUGGCUUCUGCUCCGGAUUGAGUAAGGUCCAGCAGCAAUCCUGCAGACGCCCCCUUUGGUCCACCGAGGGUGGCAAUGCCCUGGAAACUCCAGGCUUGAGGGCAGGGCUGGGACAUGACUAAAAAGAGGUGAGCAGCUGCACGGCUAUCGGAAUCCCUGUGCAGGAAUCCGUGUGCUGAUCGAUCGGAGCCGCAGGACCAGAGUGCAGCUGUCUCUGGUGAGAACCUGCUGCCAGUGCCUGGUGUGUUCCUUCUUCCAGCAGAUUCCUGUCCUGGAAUCCAGAGAACAGCUUCUGACCUCAAAGCUGAGCACAAGCUCCAGCAAGACACCACUGUCCCUAAGUGAGAGGCCUGCUGUCUCCCCAGGCAGAGCAUUCUGGCUCAGCCUGAGAUGAGAUGAAGAACCACAAUUGACCCAGAGAUCUCUUAGCCCAAUGCCAGCCAACUGGUGUCACCCACACCAGCACCCUGGGUUUCUCCUGCAUCACAGCAGAGCUGAUGGGGAGCCAGGUCCCAGCCCUGCUGUCCACAUCCAGCUUGGGGGGCCCGGUCUGCAGCUGGGACCUGUGAGCUGGCGGGACUGCAGUACAGGGUAGGGGUUUCUUGUGAUGGUGUCUAUGGCCCCUUAGCGAUGACAGGAGAGGAGACUGCAGGUUUCUGUGAAAAUCGCUCUCUUGCUUUGGGCUGGGGUGAUUCUGAAUUGUAACGAGCUUUCAAUGCUGGCUGCAGGACCCUCUGGGGGUGCACUGAGAGCACCCUGGUCUGCAUUUCCCCCACUCUUCUUCCACACCCCAAGUGUCCUCAGGGUCCCUAAUACAGCAGGUGGCCUCGGCCUGGAGUCCACUGCUGCUGACCAGACUAAGACAAAGAGAGGAGAAUAGCUGUGCUGCCCGAGGUGGAAAACAGAUGGCUCGGUGGCCCCCGGGAUCCUUAGCAAAGAGAGGAGGAGAAGGGGUGCAGGACAAAGCUGAAGGGCAGGCCCAAGAAGCCAGCUGUUCGCUGGGCCUGGUGGUGCACAGCUGUAACCCCAGCACUCUGGGAGGCUGAGACAGGAAGCCAGAGCAAGCGAGUUAGCAACUCACCAAGAUCCUGUCUCAAAAUACAAAAUAGAAAAGGCUGGGAAUGGGGGCUCCAUGUGAAGGAAAAGCCUGGGGUUCCAUCCCCAGUACAAAAAACAAAAACAAAAACAGCAACAACACAAUAGCAUCCGGAAGCCUGAAACACGGGGUUUAAACACCAUUGAAUUUUGACUCUGACAGAAGUCUGACUCUGCUCCUUGGUCCCUGGGGAAACUUGGCAAGGGCUUUUUACUCUGGAAGCCACUGUUUCCCGUCUCCGAGGUGCUGACCCGUAGAAAUGCUUCACGUGGGGAACGCAGUUUGGUAUUUAAACAUGUUUCUUGCAGCGUGCCUUGGAGACGUGAUUCCCAACUUGAGGUGAUUUUGUUUCCGAAGACACUUUUGCCCAUGUCGGAAUUGUGCUGUGUCAGCAGCACAACGAUGGCAAGACUGCUACCCAGAGAAGGCUGCCCAGUGACCUGCGUCCCCGUGAGGAGCAGGGAGGGGCUCCCCACCCAGCAGAGAGGGCUCUGCCCCAGGAAGCCAGGCAUACACUGCUGGAGAGCACCAGCAAUUGGGAAGCAAAUAUAUAUUUUAAUAUGUGGCAUGAUAAAAUUAUAGUUCAUGCCCUAAAAAAACAACAUGCUAUAACUGGUAAUAAAUUAUUUUGUUGAGUAUUUAUUGACACUGACAGUGGAGUUAUAACCACAUAAAUCUGUUGCAAGCCUACAA
Cavia porcellus (domestic guinea pig) is the source of this 1795-nucleotide long non-coding RNA. RefSeq lists it as uncharacterized. The record is from RefSeq and is a predicted model, not a curated record. Lineage: Eukaryota; Metazoa; Chordata; Mammalia; Rodentia; Caviidae. The transcript has 2 exons.